This is a long non-coding RNA of Hibiscus syriacus, 213 nucleotides long. RefSeq lists it as uncharacterized. Lineage: Eukaryota; Viridiplantae; Streptophyta; Magnoliopsida; Malvales; Malvaceae. The record is from RefSeq and is a predicted model, not a curated record. The transcript is spliced from 3 exons.
CCUCUUGAUUCAUGACAAUACCCCCAACUGCAGUCGAUGCUUGUCCCCAAGAAUCGAAAUCAGGAAAUUGGGAAUGAAGUACUGUAAAAUCCUCCCAUGAUAAACCUGAAGCUGACCAUCAACAGUGAGUUCAGGGACUAUAGAAUCGAGAAGACAACUUCAAAUUUCUGCGCAAAGCCAAUGAAGUUUGUUUGUAAGGCUGAAGCUUAAGGU